AUACGUAGGUGGCGAGCGUUGUCCGGAUUUACUGGGCGUAAAGGAUGCGUAAGUGGAAACUUAAGUGGGAUGUGAAAUCCCCCGGGCUCAACCCGGGAACUGCAUUCCAAACUGGGUUACUUGAGUGCAGGAGAGGAAAGCGGAAUUCCUAGUGUAGCGGUGAAAUGCGUAGAUAUUAGGAAGAACACCAGUGGCGAAGGCGGCUUUCUGGACUGUAACUGACACUGAGGCAUGAAAGCGUGGGGAGC
RNAcentral lists this ribosomal RNA (248 nucleotides) under uncultured bacterium. RNAcentral's name for it is "partial 16S ribosomal RNA". It matches the Rfam family "Bacterial small subunit ribosomal RNA", at positions 523 to 769 of the family's 1533-position model. The record is from RNAcentral.